Molecule: small RNA, 122 nt
Filed under: Marmota monax (woodchuck)
Lineage: Eukaryota; Metazoa; Chordata; Mammalia; Rodentia; Sciuridae
Source: RNAcentral
GGGUGUGGUAGCACACACCUGUAAUCCCAGCACCUCAGGAGGCUGAGACAGGAGGAUCGCAAGUUCAAAGCCAAUUUCAGCAAAAGGGAUGUGCUAAGCAACUCAGUGAGAUCCUGUCUCUA